GUGGAUUGUACUAGAAGUCCGUGAGCCAACCUUCGGGAGGCAGCGGCCCAAGGUAUGAUUCACGAUUGGGGUGAAGUCGUAACAAGGUAGCCGUAGGUGAACCUGCAGAAGGAUCA
RNAcentral lists this ribosomal RNA (116 nucleotides) under uncultured eukaryote. Its description in RNAcentral is "partial small subunit ribosomal RNA". It matches the Rfam family "Bacterial small subunit ribosomal RNA", at positions 1410 to 1525 of the family's 1533-position model. The record is from RNAcentral.